RNAcentral lists this ribosomal RNA (19 nucleotides) under Dermea viburni. RNAcentral describes it as "partial 28S ribosomal RNA". Lineage: Eukaryota; Fungi; Ascomycota; Leotiomycetes; Helotiales; Dermateaceae. The record is from RNAcentral.
GGUUGACCUCGGACAGGGA